This 837-nucleotide ribosomal RNA is filed under the name uncultured Mallomonadaceae. RNAcentral's name for it is "eukaryotic LSU rRNA". The stretch from base 346 to 492 matches the Rfam family "5.8S ribosomal RNA". The record is from RNAcentral. Lineage: Eukaryota; Synurophyceae; Synurales; Mallomonadaceae.
GGAAGUAAAAGUCGUAACAAGGUUUCCGUAGUGAACCUGCGGAAGGAUCAUUACCACACCCAAAACAAAAAACAGAGGUCUCCGAUUCGCAAGAUGACGGACUGAUGUUGACCCGCGGAACUUUCGUCUCUGUUUGGUGUAGGCUUGCUUCGGCACCUGCAUCGGCAUUGAUGCUUUAAGAUCUAAAUUUAACCCGCUCUUCUGUACGAACCUGUUAGAAUCCCCUGCUUCGGUAGGCCUGGGCUUGGUAGUAGUCAGAGAGCAACCAUUGAACUAAAGCCGCGAUAAGCUUCUAGUGCUGUUACUUUCGGGUUCAGCCUAGGGGUACGCAAACUUAAUCAAUCACACUUUCAGCAACGGAUGUCUUGGCUCCUAUAACGAUGAAGAACGCAGCGAAAUGCGAUACGUCUUGCGAAUUGCAUAGCCAGCGAGUCAUCAAAAUUUUGAACGCAUCUUGCACUUCCCUUUGGGAGUAUGUCUGUUGGAGUAUCUGUAGACCCUCUUGAGCCAUCAGGGCUGUAACAAGCUCUGAUGGAGAUCGUGGUCUCCCUCUAUUUAUACAGGAGUCGGAUAGAUGUAAGGGCUUAUGUCUUAGUUCUCUUCGGAGGCUAAGCUAAGCUAGCGUUUCAGGUGUGCGUCAAAGCCGCAUACUCGAACCAAUCCCUUGUGGAGUUCCUCUUGUAGGACGAAACAAGUUGUGGUCUUUAGUAGAGUUUGCGAUCCCUUUGUAUGCAUUCAACACAACUGAUAUCAUGGAGAAGUGAGUCUUCUCAAUCAGACCUCCAAUCAGACAGACAAGAAUACCCGCUGAAUUUAAGCAUAUCAAUAAGCGGAGGA